Long non-coding RNA from Bos taurus (domestic cattle), 2817 nucleotides. Lineage: Eukaryota; Metazoa; Chordata; Mammalia; Artiodactyla; Bovidae. The record is from Ensembl.
UUCUUGCUGAAAUUAUUCUCAUUUCCAUGAGAUUUGUGGGUUUUCUCUACAUUAAUUUCCUGAUGUUGAAAGAGGGUUGAUGUGUCAUACUCAUUAACUUCAGAGUGAUUCUCCUUUGUGCAUUUCCUGCUGGAUUUGGAGAGCUGACUUGUCACUGGUAUCUUGCCCCUCCCUGUUCCUCAUAAUCCUGGGUACUCUCUUCUGUUUGAGUCUUCUGUGGUGGGAUGGUGGCUGCCUCACUGGAGGUGGCUACUCUGCACUCAUGACCUUCCACAGGUGGUCCCAAGGCCAAAUCUUCUGUUGCCCACAAGGGUCCUCAUUAUGACUCAAGGGUCUCCCAUCUUGGUUAUGGUUGUUGGAUGCUUCCCAGGAUGAGUAUCCUCUUGAUUAUUACCAAGAAGCAACUUCCCACGUAUGUUAAUUUCAUCAGAGUUCUUAUCUGAAACAUUUUUAUCAUGCCAGGCUUCCCUGUCCAUCACCAACUCCUGGAGCUUACUCAAACUCAUGUCCAUAGAGCCAGUGAUGCCAUCCAACCAUCUCAUGCUCUUCGUUCCCUUCUCCUCCUGCCCUCAAUCUUUCCCAGCAUCAGGGUCUUUUCCAGUGAGUCAGCUCUUUGCAUCAGGUGACCAAAGUAUUGAAGCUUCAGCCUCAGCAUCAGUCCUUCCAGUGAAUAUUCAGGACUGAUCUUUAGGAGUGACUGGUUGGAUCCCCUUGCAGUCCAAGGGGCUCUCAAGAGUAUUCUCCAACACCACAGUUCAAAAGCAUCAAUUGUUUGGCAUUCAGCUUAUUUUAUAAUCCAACUCUCCUAUCCAUAUAUGACUACUAAAAAAACCAUAGCUUUGUUGUAGUCAAUAAAGCAGAUGUUUUUCUGGAACUUGCUUGCUCUUUCGAUAAUCCAGCGAAUGUUGGCAAUUUGAUCUCUGGUUCCUCUGCCUUUUGUAAAUCCAGCUUGAACAUCUGGAAGUUCACAGUUGACAUAUUGUUGACGCCUGGCUUGGAGCAUUUUGAGCAUUACUUUGCUAGCGUGUGAGAUGAGUGCAGUUGUGCGAUCAUUUGAACAUUCUUUGGCACUGCCUUUCUUUGGGAUUGGAAUGAAAACUGACCUUUUCCAGUCCUGUGGCCACUAUUGAGCUUUCCAAAUUUGCUGGCAUACUGAGUGUAGCACUUUCACAGCAUCAUAUUUUAGGAUUUGAGAUAGCCCAAAUGGAAUUCCAUCCCCUCCACUAGCUUUUUCAUAGUGAUGCUUCCUAAGGCCCACUUUGCAUUCCAGGAUGUCUGACUCUAGGUGAAUGAUCACACCACUGUGGUUAUCUGGGUCAUGAAGAUCUUUUUUGUAUAGUUCUUCUGUAUAUUCUUGCCACCUCUUAACAUCUUCUGUUUCUUUUAGGUCCAUACCAUUUGUCUUUUAUUGUGCCCAUCUUUGCAUGAAAUGUUCCCUUGAUAUCUCUAAUUUUCUUGAAGAGACCUCUAGUCUUUUCUAUUUUUUCCUCUUAUUUCUUUGCGUUGAUCUCUGAGGAAGGCUUUCUUACCUCUCCUUGCUAUUCUUUGGAGCUCUGCAUUCAAAGAAUAGCAAGAUAUAGCAAGGGUAUGGGAGAAGGCAAUGGCACCCCACGCCAGUACUGUUGCCCGGAAAAUCCCAUGGAUGGAGGAGCCUGGUGGGCUGCAGUCCAUGGGGUCACUAAGAGUCAGACACGACUGAGUGACUUCACUUUCACUUUCCACUUUCAUGCACUGCAGAAGGAAAUGGCAGCCCACUCCAGUAUUCUUGCCUGGAGAAUCCCAUGGACGGAGAAGCCUGGUAGGCUGCAGUCCAUGGGGUCGCACAGAGUCAGACACGACUGAAGUGACUUGGCAGCAGCAAGGGCAUAUCUUUCUUUUUCUUCUUUGCCUUUUGCUUCUCUUCUUUUCUCAGCUAUUUGUAAGGCCUCCUCAGACAACCAUUUUGCCUUUUUGCAUUUCUUUUUCUUGGGGAUGGUCUUGAUCCCUGCCUCCUGUACAAUGUCACGAACCUCCAUCCAUAGUUCAUCAGGCACUCUAUCAGAUCUAAUCCCUUGAAUCUGUUUGUCACUUCCAUUGUAUAAUCAUAAGGGAUUUGAUUUAGGUCAUACCUGAAUGGUCUAGUGGUUUUCCCUACUUUCUGCAAUUUAAGUCUGAAUUUGGAAAUAAGGAGUUCAUGAUCUGAGCCACAGUCAGCUCCCAGUCUUGUUUUUGCUGACUGUAUAGAGCUUCAUCUUUGGCUGCAAAGAAUAUAAUCAGUCUGAUCUGGUGAUGUGUAGUCUUCUCUUGUGUUUUUGGAAGAGGGUGUUUGCUAUGACCAAUGCGUUCUCUUCACAAAACUCUGUUAGCCUUUGCCCUGCUUCAUUCUGUAUUCCAAAGACAAAUUUGACUGUUAUUCCAGGUAUCUCUUGACUUCCUACUUUUGCAUUCCAGUCCCCUAUAAUGAAAAGGACAUCUUUUUUGGGUGUGAGUUCUAAAAGGUCUUGUAGGUCUUCAUAGAACUGUUCAAAUUCAGCUUCUUCAGCAUUAUUGGUUGGGGCAUAGACUUGGAUUCAUGUGAUAUUGAAUGGUUUGCCUUGGAAGCGAACAGAGAUCAUUCUGUCCACCCAGCAAUGGUGGGAUGAGAUUUAGCACUUUCCUGUAGCUCAAAUGGUAAAGAAUCUGUCUGCAGUGCAGGAGAUCAGGGUUCAAUCCCUGGGUUGGGAAGAUCCUCUGGAGAAGGUUAUAGCAAUCCACUCCGGAAUUCUUGCCUGGAGAAUCUCAUGGACAGAGGAGCCUGGCAGACUAGUCAGUGGGGUUGCAAAGAGCCAGACAUGACUG